UAUGAUGAAGGCUAUGUUGGUAG
This 23-nucleotide non-coding RNA is filed under the name Cricetulus griseus (Chinese hamster). Lineage: Eukaryota; Metazoa; Chordata; Mammalia; Rodentia; Cricetidae. The record is from RNAcentral.